Molecule: long non-coding RNA, 885 nt
Organism: Dalotia coriaria
Lineage: Eukaryota; Metazoa; Arthropoda; Insecta; Coleoptera; Staphylinidae
Exons: 2
Source: RefSeq, a predicted model, not a curated record
CAAGCGGACAAGGCAUGCGUAAUCCAAGCUCGUCGAAUGGGAGAACAACCAACAACGAGAAACAGGCCGUACUCCGUCGCACUCGUAAUUUAACGCAGGCAAAACGUACAUUUAGAUCGAGCUUCAACAAGUUUAUUCCUAAUAUUCGAAAUCAUUUGCAUUCGUUGAUAUAGUAUACAAUACGAUAAGAUUUAUUAUAUCCAGGAAAUUUGCAAAAGGAAGGUCCCACCGAGAUUUGAACUCGGAUCGCUGGAUUCAAAGUCCAGAGUGCUAACCAUUACACCAUGGGACCGGUUGCCUAUGAGAAGCUCCUAGCCUCACUUUAAAAUCACAUUGCUAUGCAAAGUAAUGAAUACAACACCAAACUCUUAUCACAGCAGAAAAUAAUGGAUCACAGUGGCAAAAUUGGAUGAAUGCGUUGACAUUUUAAUCAAAAAUUGAAACAUAAACAACAAUGGACGGAAUUUAAAUUAACACUGUGUUACUGAAUCAGAUAGGCUUUAUAUUAUCUCUCUUUCACAAAAUACCAAUAAGAUAACAAUUCUUAAAUUAUUCCUGUGUAACUUCCAUUUCGGUAUUUGACGUUGUCGGUUCACCACUUGCGACUGCAGUUUCUAUUAGAGGCCUGGGUCCAAAAUAAUGUUUAACUAAAAACGUUUAAGUAAUAUAGUACAUAUUUGUUUCAAAUUAGUCAUGAGUUAAAUGUACCUGGGUCAUUUAAAAGUAAAUCUGCUACCGUUAAAUUGUUACUCUUGUUAUCGCCGCCAGCAGCAAAGAAAAAUGGUGAAUCUGGACACAUUUCAAUACAAUGCAAAACACCCAUUUUCAAAUCCUUUUCAUAUACCAUUUGUGCUCCAUAUUUAGAUUGUCCAUUGGCGUCCCAUA